GAUGAACGCUGGCGGCGUGCCUAAUACAUGCAAGUCGAGCGAACAGAUGAGGAGCUUGCUCCUCUGACGUUAGCGGCGGACGGGUGAGUAACACGUGGAUAACCUACCUAUAAUACUGGUAUAACUUCGGGAAACCGGAGCUAAUACCGUAUAAUAUAUUGAACCGCAUGGUUCAAUAGUGAAAGACGGCUUUGCUGUCACUUCUAGAUGGAUCCCAGCCGCAUUAGCUAGUUGGUAAGGUAACGGCUUACCAAGGCAACGAUGCGUAGCCGACCUGAGAGGGUGAUCGGCCACACUGGAACUGAGACACGGUCCAGGCUCCUACGGGAGGCAGCAGUAGGGAAUCUUCCGCAAUGGGCGAAAGCCUGACGGAGCAACGCCGCGUGAGUGAUGAAGGUCUUCGGAUCGUAAAACUCUGUUAUUAGGGAAGAACAAAUGUGUAAGUAACUAUGCACGUCUUGACGGUACCUAAUCAGAAAGCCACGGCUAACUACGUG
This 497-nucleotide ribosomal RNA is filed under the name uncultured bacterium. RNAcentral's name for it is "partial 16S ribosomal RNA". It matches the Rfam family "Bacterial small subunit ribosomal RNA", at positions 28 to 507 of the family's 1533-position model. The record is from RNAcentral.